RNAcentral lists this ribosomal RNA (429 nucleotides) under Bacillota bacterium. Its description in RNAcentral is "Firmicutes bacterium partial 16S ribosomal RNA". It matches the Rfam family "Bacterial small subunit ribosomal RNA", at positions 355 to 776 of the family's 1533-position model. Lineage: Bacteria; Bacillati; Bacillota. The record is from RNAcentral.
UAGGGAAUCUUUCACAAUGGACGCAAGCCUGAUGGAGCAACGCCGCGUGAGUGAAGAAGGUUUUCGGAUCGUAAAGCUCUGUUGUUGGUGAAGAAGGAUAGAGGCAGUAACUGGUCUUUAUUUGACGGUAAUCAACCAGAAAGUCACGGCUAACUACGUGCCAGCAGCCGCGGUAAUACGUAGGUGGCAAGCGUUGUCCGGAUUUAUUGGGCGUAAAGCGAGCGCAGGCGGAAUGAUAAGUCUGAUGUGAAAGCCCACGGCUCAACCGUGGAACUGCAUCGGAAACUGUCAUUCUUGAGUGCAGAAGAGGAGAGUGGAAUUCCAUGUGUAGCGGUGGAAUGCGUAGAUAUAUGGAAGAACACCAGUGGCGAAGGCGGCUCUCUGGUCUGCAACUGACGCUGAGGCUCGAAAGCAUGGGUAGCGAACAGG